This 275-nucleotide ribosomal RNA is filed under the name uncultured prokaryote. RNAcentral's name for it is "partial 16S ribosomal RNA". It matches the Rfam family "Bacterial small subunit ribosomal RNA", at positions 524 to 798 of the family's 1533-position model. The record is from RNAcentral.
UACGGAGGAUCCGAGCGUUAUCCGGAUUUAUUGGGUUUAAAGGGUGCGCAGGCGGGGGAUUAAGUCGGCGGUGAAAUUUUGCAGCUCAACUGUAAAAGUGCCUUCGAAACUGGUUUCCUUGAGUGUGGAUGAAGUAGGCGGAAUUUGUGGUGUAGCGGUGAAAUGCAUAGAUAUCACGAGGAACUCCGAUUGCGCAGGCAGCUUACUAAACCAUAACUGACGCUCAGGCACGAAGGCGUGGGGAUCAAACAGGAUUAGAUACCCCGGUAGUCCCU